This 298-nucleotide long non-coding RNA is filed under the name Sinocyclocheilus grahami. RNAcentral describes it as "lncRNA (ENSSGRG00000017051.1)". The record is from RNAcentral. Lineage: Eukaryota; Metazoa; Chordata; Actinopteri; Cypriniformes; Cyprinidae.
GACCCGUCUUGCCCUCUCGGAUCACUGCAGUAACAUCACUCACUGCUCCUGGAGUGACCCUACUAACUGGAAACUGGAAAAAGCACAGAGCAACAAAUAAGAUUUUGGAAUUGAAGAAGCCAUCCUGCACAGACGCCUUAGUGCUCCACCGUGAUCCAAACCCAGAGGCUAAAGCUGAGGAUGGGCCUUUUAUAGUCAGUAUGGACGAGGACAACUCGCUCCAAGACAAGCGGCCAGUUGCAUCUACGCCUAUACCUGGAUCACCAUGGUAACUUCCCGUUUUGUCUGCACAGAUAUG